Molecule: long non-coding RNA, 453 nt
Filed under: Capsicum annuum
Lineage: Eukaryota; Viridiplantae; Streptophyta; Magnoliopsida; Solanales; Solanaceae
Description: long non-coding RNA (CANN_LNC003719)
Source: RNAcentral
GUUUUUAUUUGUUAGGUGAAACACUUCCUAUCUUGAACCAUCACUCCUAGAAGACGCACUUCUAGUCAAGUCAUUUCAUUUAACCCCUAGGAGACACACUUCAUAGUCUGAAUAAGUCAGUUUUUUAUUUGUUAGAUGAAGCACUUCCUAACUUAAACAUUCACUCCUAGAAGACCCACUUUCUAGUUGAGUCCUUUCAUUUAACUCCUAGGAGACGCACUUCCUAGUCUAAAUAAGUCAGUUUUUUAUUUGUUAGGUGAAACACUUUCUAACUUGAACAUUCACUCCUAGAAGACGCACUUUCUAGUCGAGUCCUUUCAUUUAACCCCUAGGAGACGCACUUCCUAGUCUGAAUAAGUCAGUUUUUAUUUGUUAGGUGAAGCACUUCCUAACUUGAACAUUUACUCCUAGAAGACGCACUUUCUAGUCGAGUCAUUUCAUUUAACCCCUGGG